This 460-nucleotide ribosomal RNA is filed under the name uncultured bacterium. RNAcentral's name for it is "partial 16S ribosomal RNA". It matches the Rfam family "Bacterial small subunit ribosomal RNA", at positions 338 to 795 of the family's 1533-position model. The record is from RNAcentral.
CCUACGGGGGGCAGCAGUGAGGAAUAUUGGUCAAUGGGCGCGAGCCUGAACCAGCCAAGUAGCGUGAAGGAUGACUGCCCUAUGGGUUGUAAACUUCUUUUAUAUGGGAAUAAAGUGUUCCACGUGUGGGAUUUUGUAUGUACCGUAUGAAUAAGGAUCGGCUAACUCCGUGCCAGCAGCCGCGGUAAUACGUAGGUGCCAAGCGUUGUCCGGAUUUAUUGGGUUUAAAGGGCGUGUAGCCGGGAAGUCAAGUCAGAUGUGAAAUUCGGAGGCUCAACCUCCGAAUUGCAUUUGAUACUGGUGUUCUUGAGUACGGGUGAGGCAGACGGAAUUCGUGGUGUAGCGGUGAAAUGCGUAGAUAUAACGAAGAACACCAGUGGCGAAGGCGGCCUGCUGGACAGCAACUGACGGUGAGGCGCGAAAGCGUGGGGAGCAAACAGGAUUAGAUACCCGAGUAGUC